UGUGGUGUUUGCUUCCAGUGUUAUGUCAUGUUUGUUCUAGAACAUGGUGGCAAAGACCUUGAAAGCUUUGUUCUUUUGAACUUUGAUGAACAGUUUCGCUCAAUGUUCUGGAACAUGGUGGCAAAGAACAUGAUGAACUUUUGAACUUUCAUAAUCACCAUGUUCUGUUUCUCUUCUAUCUAACGACAGUUUCGCUCGAACAAAUAUUAUGUGGCGAAUUUAUCUCGUGACUAUCGUACUUACCAAGAAGUCAUUUGAACGGUCUUCAAAAAAACGAAAGAGAACUACGGUCACUAAAGAAGCGGAUGGAGAAGUAUGAAUCAGCUAAAGAGGCUGUUUCAGAUCCUUUCUUCUCAGAUAUGUUGAUGGACCAAACAUCAUGAAGAAUAUAAUAAACCCCAUAAGUGAUUAUCCCGAAGCUCCCUCUCUCUUUCGUGUGUAUAUUGUUUGCCUAGCCACUUAAAUCUACAGUAUUAGCUCUUGCUUCAUGAUAUGAUCUGUAUACCAAUCUCAAUCUCUUCAAAUGUAUGCAAGAACUGAUAUGUUAAUUAUUUUUUUGUA
Molecule: non-coding RNA, 561 nt
Organism: Camelina sativa (false flax)
Lineage: Eukaryota; Viridiplantae; Streptophyta; Magnoliopsida; Brassicales; Brassicaceae
Source: RefSeq, a predicted model, not a curated record